GACGAACGCUGGCGGCGUGCUUAACACAUGCAAGUCGAACGGAAAGGCCCUGCUUUUGUGGGGUGCUCGAGUGGCGAACGGGUGAGUAAAACGUGAGUAACCUGCCCUUGACUUUGGGAUAACUUCAGGAAACUGGGGCUAAUACCGGAUAGGAGCUCCUGCUGCAUGGUGGGGGUUGGAAAGAUUCGUAGGUUUGGGAUGGACACGCGGCUUAUCAGCUUGUUGGCGGGGUGGUGGGUUACCAAGGCUUUGACGGGUAGCCGGACUGAGAGGGUGACCGGCCACAUUGGGACUGAGAUAGGGCCCAGACGCCUACGGGAGGCAGCAGUGAGGAUUAUUGCACAAUGGGCGGAAGCAGGAUGGAGCGACGCCGCGUCCUGGAUGACGGUCUGCGGGUUGUAACCCGCGUUCGCCUGUGACGAAGCGUGAGUGACGGUAAUGGGUAAAGAAGCACCGGCUAACUACGUG
RNAcentral lists this ribosomal RNA (468 nucleotides) under uncultured bacterium. RNAcentral's name for it is "partial 16S ribosomal RNA". It matches the Rfam family "Bacterial small subunit ribosomal RNA", at positions 28 to 507 of the family's 1533-position model. The record is from RNAcentral.